Molecule: ribosomal RNA, 381 nt
Filed under: Salpingoecidae sp.
Lineage: Eukaryota; Choanoflagellata; Craspedida; Salpingoecidae
Also listed under: 1 other name
Description: SSU rRNA
Rfam family: Eukaryotic small subunit ribosomal RNA
Source: RNAcentral
CCAGCUCCAAUAGCGUAUAUUAAAGUUGUUGCAGUUAAAAAGCUCGUAGUUGGAUUUCAGGGCCUGGAGAGCGGUCCGCCGCAAGGCGAGCACCGCAACCUCUGGGACCACCUUCCUGAGGACCCGUGUGCCCUUAACUGGGUGUGCGUGGGAGUCAGGGACUUUACUUUGAAAAAAUUAGAGUGUUCAAAGCAGGCGUUUGCUUGAAUACAUUAGCAUGGAAUAAUAGAAUAGGACUUUGGUUCUAUUUUGUUGGUUUCUAGGACCGAGGUAAUGAUUAAUAGGGACAGUUGGGGGCAUUAGUAUUUAAUUGUCAGAGGUGAAAUUCUUGGAUUUAUGAAAGACUAACUUCUGCGAAAGCAUUUGCCAAGGAUGUUUUCA